UUUCCGAAAAGGUAAACCCUGGGCAACCAGGGGGCACAAAGCCGCGGACCCCGAACAGUCGGGGUAGCCGGGCUGUCGAA
Molecule: non-coding RNA, 80 nt
Filed under: Nitrospinota bacterium
Lineage: Bacteria; Pseudomonadati; Nitrospinota
Description: Nitrospira bacterium c-di-GMP sequence
Rfam family: c-di-GMP-I riboswitch aptamer
About the family: GEMM was predicted in a large-scale screen for bacterial structured RNA regulatory elements. Genes associated with GEMM are involved in a diverse array of functions, including chemotaxis regulation, signal transduction, secretion and chitin.
Source: RNAcentral